CAGGCGGACCAAUCAUCGCAUCGGGACUGGAUCAGACAGCUUGGUUUUAUCGUCCCAACUCUGUUUUCGUUGACAGUAAAUGGAGAGUCUGGGUAGAGGUUAGACUUUAUCCACCUGUGAAAGGAUAUACUACUGGAUGGAUGCUGGUUAAGGAUCAAUUCGGCACGUAUUUUACGAAUCCGCGUAUAGGUAGCUAGACAAAUCGAAUUUCGUGAAUGCGAUCAUAGGAUCCAAGAAUUCAAAUUUUUGAACAGGAGCCCCACCUACUUGGGGCUCUUUGGCUUAC
RNAcentral lists this unclassified non-coding RNA (286 nucleotides) under uncultured fungus. Its description in RNAcentral is "sequence contains ITS1". The record is from RNAcentral. Lineage: Eukaryota; Fungi.